This 468-nucleotide ribosomal RNA is filed under the name uncultured bacterium. RNAcentral describes it as "partial 16S ribosomal RNA". It matches the Rfam family "Bacterial small subunit ribosomal RNA", at positions 28 to 507 of the family's 1533-position model. The record is from RNAcentral.
GACGAACGCUGGCGGCGUGCUUAACACAUGCAAGUCGAACGGAAAGGCCCUGCUUUUGUGGGGUGCUCGAGUGGCGAACGGGUGAGUAACACGUGAGUAACCUGCCCUUGACUUUGGGAUAACUUCAGGAAACUGGGGCUAAUACCGGAUAGGAGCUCCUGCUGCAUGGUGGGGGUUGGAAAGUUUCGGCGGUUGGGGAUGGACUCGCGGCUUAUCCGCUUGUUGGUGGGGUAGGGGAUUACGAAGGCUUUGACGGGUAGCCGGCCUGCGAGGGGGACCGGCCACAUGGGGACUGAGAUACGGCCCAGACUCCUACGGGAGGCAGCAGUGGGGAAUAUUGCACAAUGGGCGGAAGCCUGAGGCAGCAACGCCGCGUGCGGGAUGACGGCCUUCGGGUUGUAAACCGCUUUCGCCUGUGACGAAGCGUGAGUGACGGUAAUGGGUAAAGAAGCACCGGCUAACUACGUG